RNAcentral lists this ribosomal RNA (253 nucleotides) under uncultured bacterium. Its description in RNAcentral is "partial 16S ribosomal RNA". It matches the Rfam family "Bacterial small subunit ribosomal RNA", at positions 524 to 776 of the family's 1533-position model. The record is from RNAcentral.
UACGGAGGAUGCAAGCGUUAUCCGGAAUGAUUGGGCGUAAAGCGUCCGCAGGUGGCAAUGUAAGUCUGCUGUUAAAGAGUCUAGCUCAACUAGAUAAAAGCAGUGGAAACUACAUAGCUAGAGUACGUUCGGGGCAGAGGGAAUUCCUGGUGUAGCGGUGAAAUGCGUAGAGCUCGGGAAGAACAUCGGUGGCGAAAGCGCUCUACUGGACGACAACUGACACUCAGGGACGAAAGCUAGGGGAGCGAAUGGG